CCUACGGGAGGCAGCAGUGGGGAAUAUUGGACAAUGGGCGAAAGCCUGAUCCAGCAAUGCCGCGUGAGUGAUGAAGGCCUUAGGGUUGUAAAGCUCUUUUACCCGGGAAGAUAAUGACUGUACCGGGAGAAUAAGCCCCGGCUAACUCCGUGCCAGCAGCCGCGGUAAUACGGAGGGGGCUAGCGUUAUUCGGAAUUACUGGGCGUAAAGCGUACGUAGGCGGUGGUUCAAGUCAGAGGUGAAAGCCCGGAGCUCAACUCCGGAACUGCCUUUGAAACUAGAUCGCUAGAACAUCGGAGAGGUAAGUGGAAUUCCGAGUGUAGAGGUGAAAUUCGUAGAUAUUCGGAAGAACACCAGUGGCGAAGGCGGCUUACUGGACGAUUGUUGACGCUGAGGUACGAAAGCGUGGGGAGCAAACAGGAUUAGAUACCCUGGUAGUCCACGCCGUAAACGAUGAUAACUAGCUGUUGGGCCUCAUAGAGGCUCAGUGGCGCAGCUAACGCAUUAAGUUAUCCGCCUGGGGAGUACGGUCGCAAGAUUAAAACUCAAAUGAUAGACGCGNGAGACGNGCCGACGACGACGACGAGGGAGUAG
RNAcentral lists this ribosomal RNA (594 nucleotides) under uncultured bacterium. Its description in RNAcentral is "bacterial SSU rRNA". It matches the Rfam family "Bacterial small subunit ribosomal RNA", at positions 338 to 949 of the family's 1533-position model. The record is from RNAcentral.